AUUAUUUUGGCAGAUUAGUGUAAUAGAUUUAGAAUCUUUAAAAGUAAAAUUAUUUUACAAAUAAUA
Molecule: transfer RNA, 66 nt
Filed under: Lissodema cursor
Lineage: Eukaryota; Metazoa; Arthropoda; Insecta; Coleoptera; Salpingidae
Description: tRNA-Leu
Source: RNAcentral